CUGCAAUAAAGCUCCAGGGUUUUCGAGGGGUAGGCCAUCAUAGUGCGAAACCUAAGAGGCAGAGGCGAAGUCUUGGGAAAAAAGAAAGUUCAUAUAAAAUACACCCAAAAUCCAAUAUAAAAAAAGGUAAAUGCAAAAUGAAGAACAGAUUGCAAACUAAGAUCGAUAUAAUUUGCUCAGACUCCUCAGGCCAUAGGAUAUUUAUCCGCUUGGCACAAAAGAAUGCCGGAUUAGAACUGCUCGGUUAGAACCCGCAUGCCACUCAAAAUAUCCUCAAGAGUAAAUAAGUGCAACCGGUUACAUCCAAAGUGCCCUAUCACCAGCCAAGAAAACCCGAGGCGCCCUCUUUUUUGGCAACAGUUCAACUCUUAAUUAUCCCUUAAUUGUCGCAACCAUCCGACAUUGAAAGGGCAAGUCAUCAUAGCAUGGAACAAAAGAGGCAAAGCCAAAGCCGCAGAUGAUAAAAGGCACCAAUAGCAACAUGAAAACUCAAGGUAUAAGUAAGAUAACACUUUUGGGGAAAAACGAAAAAAUGCGCAAAACUUAUGACGAAACCCCGACUUUAGAAAUUAGAGCAAAAAGCAUAGAACACCACCUAAUACACGAAUGAGCCUAUGGAAGACGGGAAAAAACCAUUAAUAUAUACAUAUAGAAGCGAGGUAACAAAAACCGAGUAGUGAAAUAAGUAUAAUAUAUUUUGCUCAGACUCCCCCGAUCAUCAAACAUUAUUAGAUUGGCGCCAAAACCUGUCCACUUAGCACCGGAGAUUGAGUCACAACCGACAUGUAUAUCGAAAGCAUUCUUAGUCCAAAUAAGAGGAACCGGUUGCCUAGGGAAAAGGCCAUCCAAAGUCCCCCUACUACCAGCAGAGAAGUGGAUAAAAAAUGACACUAUCAUCAUCCAAGAAGGCCUGGCGCGUCCUCUAUUAUAGCAAGUAAUUAACAUUCAAGGGGAAGGUCAUCAUAGCAUAGGACAAAAGAAGUAAAUAGACACUUUGAAAAAUAUAAGCUCUGGACUAAAAGCAAGGAAAUUGAAGGAACUGAAUAGCAGCAGCACAUUAUCCACAGAAAAACUAAAGUUAAUAUGCUGAAUUAAACAUAUUGCUAAGUUAAAUUGAGCUGAAUGCAGGAUGGCCGAUGGAAUUCCGAACUUUGUUGAUGUAUUCUGUAUCACAUGAAGGCAAAAUUGGAAUUGAUAUUACCUAAGACAUCCUCUCUUUGAAAGCGGAACUUUAUCAGAAGGCUCCAUAUGAUAUGUAGGUCUAGCUUUAUUAAACAUUCAAAUAUUAAAAUAUAGCGAGCAUAAACUAUUCAAGGAAUAAGGGAGUUACAAAGUUAUUAUACCUUGAAUUUUGUGCCGGUGAUGUUUCUCCAAAUAAUCCGCUCGAGAAUGAGUGAACUUGAUCCUCAUACUUAAUAAGUAAAUUAUUUGCAACUGGACCUUUAUAUUUUACAUUAGAGUUUACGGCAAAUUUUUUUGUAACUUUGAAAGAGGGGCCACUCGUAGUGAUUUUUUGGGAGUCUGGAGUUAUUUGGAAAAUAUGUUUCCGAUCCCCAAAGAGGCUUAGGUAGAUAAGUGCAUAGUAAAAGACACGAAUUUUAUUAGGAAAAAUUUAGAAUUUGUAGCAGCAAAUUAAUCAUGGUAACCUCAAAAAUUAAAUGCACCAGAAACCAGGGUUGAGAACAGGCAAUAAACCAAACCUAAAAAAACGAUGGAAAAAAAAAAGGGAAAAAGAGAGGAAGCGUUUAAAAAAAGGAAAAACGAGAGGGAAAAAUAAAGCUCUUUCGUAGGACCCCCAAAGAGGCUCAGGUAGAUAAGGGCAUAGCAAAACACGUAAUUCCUUUGGAAAAAUUCAGAAUUUACAGCAGCAAACAAAUCAUGCUCAUUUAAAAAUUUAGUGGAUCAGGAACCAGCAUGAAAAAUCGACAGUGAACCAAAUCUGGAAAAACAAUGUAAAAAAGAGGAAAAAGAAAGGGAAAAACUGAGGGAAAUUGUGCAAUAUUAUUUUACAAAGCUCCCAAAGAAGCUUAGGUAGAUGACUGCUUAGGUAAAAGCAUGCAGUUUUUUCCAGUAGAGAAUAAGAAAAUCUGCUACACUUUGUAAGUAGGAAGCAAAAGAGAAACUCCAAGGAAAAGAGUUAAAUAAAAGUAAAAGAUUUAAUCAGAAACAAUAAUAC
RNAcentral lists this long non-coding RNA (2176 nucleotides) under Ananas comosus (pineapple). Its description in RNAcentral is "long non-coding RNA (ACOM_LNC012397)". The record is from RNAcentral. Lineage: Eukaryota; Viridiplantae; Streptophyta; Magnoliopsida; Poales; Bromeliaceae.